CGCGGGAUUGCAGCAGGCGCGAAACCUUUACAAUGCACGCAAGUGUGAUAAGGGGAUCCCCCGUGCUCAUGCACAGCAUGGGCUUUUGCAUAGUGUAAAUAGCUACGCGAAUAAGUGGUGGGUAAGACUGGUGCCAGCCGCCGCGGUAACACCAGCGCCACGAGUGGUAACCACGUUUAUUGGGCCUAAAGCGUCCGUAGCCGGUUUGGUAAAUCCUUUGUGAAAUUGUGCAGCUCAACUGUACAACGUGCAAGGGAGACUGCCAGACUCGAGACCGGGAGGAGUCAGAAGUAUUCCAGGGGGAGCGGUAAAAUGUUAUAAUCCCUGGAGGACUACCUGUGGCGAAGGCGUCUGACCAGAACGGAUCUGACGGUGAGGGACGAAAGCCAGGGGAGCGAACCGGAUUAGAUACCCGAGUAGUCCUGGCCGUAAACGCUGCCAGCUAGGUGUUGCAUCAGUCACGAGCUGGUGCAGUGUCGAAAGGAAGCUGUUAAGCUGGCCGCCUGGGAAGUACGGUCGCAAGACUGAAACUUUAAGGAAUUGGCGGGGGCGCACCACAAGGGGUGCGGCGUGCGGUUUAAUCUAACUCAACGCAGAGAACCUUACUAGGGGCGACGGCAGGAUGAAGGCCAACUUGAAGAGUUUACCUGACAAGCCGAGAGGUGGUGCAUGGCCGCCGUCAGCUCGUGCUGUGAAGUGUCCAGCUAAGCCUGGCAACGAGCGAGACCUGUAUCUUCAAUUGCUAGCAGCUGCUUGCAGGACUGAGCACUUUGAAGAGACUGCCUUGGAAACGAGGAGGAAGGUGCAGGCUACGGUAGAUCUGUAUGCCCCGAAUCCCCUAGGCUACACGCGCGCAACAAUGGUUGGGACAAUGGGAUGCCACUCCGAAAGGAGAAGCUAAACCUCUAAACCCAAUCCAAGUCCAGAUUGAGGCUUGCAACUCAGCCUCAUGACGACGGAAUCCCUAGUAAUCAGAAGUCAUCAUCUUCUGGUGAAUAUGUCCCUGCUCCUUGCACGAGUUCACCGAAUCACUAGU
This 1036-nucleotide ribosomal RNA is filed under the name uncultured crenarchaeote. RNAcentral describes it as "bacterial SSU rRNA". It matches the Rfam family "Archaeal small subunit ribosomal RNA", at positions 323 to 1478 of the family's 1478-position model. Lineage: Archaea; Thermoproteati; Thermoproteota. The record is from RNAcentral.